UACGUAGGGUCCGAGCGUUGUCCGGAAUUACUGGGCGUAAAGAGCUCGUAGGUGGUUUGUCGCGUUGUUCGUGAAAACUCACAGCUUAACUGUGGGCGUGCGGGCGAUACGGGCAGACUAGAGUACUGCAGGGGAGACUGGAAUUCCUGGUGUAGCGGUGGAAUGCGCAGAUAUCAGGAGGAACACCGGUGGCGAAGGCGGGUCUCUGGGCCGAAACUGACGCUGAGGAGCGAAAGCGUGGGGAGCAAACAGG
RNAcentral lists this ribosomal RNA (253 nucleotides) under uncultured bacterium. RNAcentral's name for it is "partial 16S ribosomal RNA". It matches the Rfam family "Bacterial small subunit ribosomal RNA", at positions 524 to 776 of the family's 1533-position model. The record is from RNAcentral.